This 88-nucleotide transfer RNA is filed under the name Mycobacterium sp. SWH-M3. RNAcentral describes it as "tRNA-Ser". The stretch from base 10 to 80 matches the Rfam family "tRNA", at positions 10 to 63 of the family's 71-position model. Rfam says of the family: Transfer RNA (tRNA) molecules are approximately 80 nucleotides in length. Their secondary structure includes four short double-helical elements and three loops (D, anti-codon, and T loops). The record is from RNAcentral. Lineage: Bacteria; Bacillati; Actinomycetota; Actinomycetes; Mycobacteriales; Mycobacteriaceae.
UGAACCAUCGCAGAACGGUAAUGCAGCGGCUUGCUAAGCCGUCGCCGCGGACACCCGCGGCCUGGGGGUUCGAAUCCCUCGACUUCCG